GGGAAGUUGGCUCAGUGGUAGAGUGCUUGCCUCAUAUGCAUGAGGCCCUGGGUUCAAUUCCUCAGUACCA
Dipodomys ordii (Ord's kangaroo rat) is the source of this 70-nucleotide non-coding RNA. Lineage: Eukaryota; Metazoa; Chordata; Mammalia; Rodentia; Heteromyidae. The record is from Rfam.